RNAcentral lists this ribosomal RNA (187 nucleotides) under Salmonella enterica subsp. enterica serovar Kentucky str. 13562. RNAcentral describes it as "partial 23S ribosomal RNA". It matches the Rfam family "Bacterial large subunit ribosomal RNA", at positions 1 to 179 of the family's 2925-position model. RNAcentral also lists the same sequence under 2 other names. Lineage: Bacteria; Pseudomonadati; Pseudomonadota; Gammaproteobacteria; Enterobacterales; Enterobacteriaceae. The record is from RNAcentral.
GGGUUGUGAGGUUAAGCGACUAAGCGUACACGGUGGAUGCCCUGGCAGUCAGAGGCGAUGAAGGACGUGCUAAUCUGCGAUAAGCGUCGGUAAGGUGAUAUGAACCGUUAUAACCGGCGAUUUCCGAAUGGGGAAACCCAGUGUGAUUCGUCACACUAUCGUUAACUGAAUACAUAGGUUAACGAAG